Molecule: long non-coding RNA, 617 nt
Organism: Drosophila miranda
Lineage: Eukaryota; Metazoa; Arthropoda; Insecta; Diptera; Drosophilidae
Exons: 2
Source: RefSeq, a predicted model, not a curated record
AAGUGAAAAUUUUGAAAAAUAUACCGCUAAAAAUUAUUGUGUAAAAAAAGCACUACCUUUAAAAAAAACUGCAUACAAAAUACCAGAUUAAAUUGUUAAACAAAUUCCAAGUCCCCAAUCUAUCAAAAAAAGUUUCCUUGCCAGGUAAAAAAGAGUUUAAAUAAAGGGGCUUAAGUGGGCUAAGUUCGUUUUUUCAUCGGUAUGGCACGCUGAAAAGGCGCCAUUCUUAAGAAGCGUCCCUCCAUUUUUUUUAAACUCCUAAAUAAUUACAGCUCGACGUCAUAAUGCAGCGCCACAGGGAAUUAUAUAAACAGCAAUCACUUGCUUUCAGCCCACGCAAUUUCAAUGAGCAGAACCGGGAACUCCAGAAUGCGGCGCGUGCAAAACAGCGCGAGGAUCGUUUUUAAAGCAACCGCAUUAUUAGUGUUAGUCCAACUCCCGUCAAGCGUGCGGCACCUAUACCGCCCUCAGAGGAGGCGCAGCCACGCCUUACCUAUGUCGCUCCUCCUAAGGAGAAUCGAAAACCAGAGCUGCCUCAGCAGCAGAGGAACCCCACCCGGGACCUUUACAUAAAGCGCUUCGUGGAUUGGAAGGCUGCCAGGAAGGAACAAACAAAG